GCCCUUAGAUCUGUACAGGAAUGUGUUAGUCGAUCUGACAUCUAGGGCACACAUCUAACAAAGGCAUAAUUCAUAUCAGGCUUGGUAUAUUGAAUAUUUGGGUAAGUAAACACCUUUACACCCAUUCCUGUUGAACUCUUUCAAUAUUAAAUUCUAUGUACCUAGACUGGGAUAAGUCUUGCAUCCACUUACACCUAUCCCUAUAGAUGCCAAGUAUAUUAGAUGCUUAACCUAAGUCUAUUCUAUGAAAACUUCUGUGAUAAGAAAGCUAUUGACUAAGUGCAAUAUCAGGACUACCUUCCCAAUAAGCUGUAUGUCGCCUACAUACAUAAUCAAGAAGUUAGUGUGACUCCCAUCUAUUUUCUUGCGUACAUAUGGUUCAUCUAUAUUUUGAUAAAGUCAAAUAUUUUGACUGUCCCAUCAAAAAUAGAAGUACCCACUCUUCAUAAACUACCUGAAUUCAUAAAAGCAUUUGCCCUCCCACUAGAGACAACUUCUUUAGUUGGUGUAUGGUGAUAGCAAAAAUCGAAAUAUGCAUCCCUGACAGCAACCUAUUGGGUCAUACCCAUAGGUGCUUCAACCAUAGUCCAUACUUGGUUGAUGUUCAGGGAGUUCAUUUUGGAUAACAAGAUUUCAGGCCAACUAUUAGAAUCUCUACUCAUAAUAUUCUCUGAAUGGGUCAAGUAAAACAUCAUUUACAAUGAUGUAUAGUGUACUGCCAUUCAUAAUGACAAAUUCAUAUUUUGAGUGGUACAUUACACACUCAAAAUGAUCUUUCAGUGAGGAGGUGUGUAUCAUGGUCGUGCCUCAUCACUGGGCACAUUUGGUCGAGGAUUAACUUGUAGACACUCCACAGGUUAAGAUAGGAUAGUUUAUAGAUCUUGAACUUCUCAAGUUUCAUUAUCCUCCCACUAUCUCCUUUUAGAAAAAAAAAAUUUAAAAGAUAGCAUACCUACUAACAAAACACCUUUUGUCAAGUAGGAUGGUAGAAAUAAUAUCACAUACUAUCCUUUUAGGAUAACAUAUGAACUAAUAAAAAUCUGUUCUCGCACAAACUUAUGUACAUCAACUCUUUUCUCAUAAGUUGAGCAACCUACCUUUUGCCUUUUUCAUAUCUCAUAUGGAUUACUUGUAACAAAUUUUUAUAACAUCUAAUUCAUAUAGUAAUUUCUAGGAUAUUUCUCAAAAAGAGAUAAUAAUAUUUAUGAAGUAUUUUAGAAAAUACAUCAUAUCACAUAUGAAGUGUAAUCUCUAGAUCAAGAUAUUAUUAAUCUUCGAAUAUCCAUAUGUUCAAGACCUAAUACUUUGCUAGCCCUGAGAUAUGUGACCAUCACAUACUUAUUUCUUGUUCUCAUCAACAUGAAGAACAUCACUAAGUGACAGAAACAUAAGACCAUAAUCAUAAAAUUUAUCAGAGGGAGAGUAACUUUUACUCUUUAACAUUAAUUUCAAAUCUAUGUUACAAUAAUAUAGGAAUUAAAAUAAUAUUUUUGAUAAACAAUGGUUUACUAAUUUCUAAAUAAAUAGGUUCUUACAGUCUUAGUAUCAAUGGAUUAUCCAUCAGUGCCAUAAGACUAGUAAUCACCUCACUUUAGCUUUAUAGGUCUUGCAACACUUUGCAUAAGUGAAACCUAUAUAAGGUAUCACAUACCUUAAAUUUUAAAGCUAAAACACUCAAUGAAUUAGUAAUUUAUAUCACAUAUAAACUAUUAACAAAUACAACUUUUGCAUUCUGCUAUUACUUUAUGCUUGUAAGAUAAUUCUUACAAUUUAUUGCUCAUCAAUGCUGUAAUGAUAUUAGAUACCUAUAGUGAAGACAUUCUUCACCUUCUAUUCCUCAACCAUUCCAUGACAUUCGAUCAAUUUUUAAAAAUAUCCUAAGUAGUGAAUGUAAAGAUGCAAAUGUGAAUAUAAAAAUAUAAAAAAAGACUACUCAAGAUGACAUGCACAAGUUAGACAAAGAUUUUUAUCUAAUUAUGUCUCUUACUAUUUUAACGAAUUUCAUAGCCCUCAAGUAUGAAAUCAAAAAAUCUUAUCAUAAAAUUUUUUAAUGGGGUUGAGAUCCUACUUUCUUAUAAAAAACCUUAUGGAUAGCACAACAAGCUCCUAUAAGUUCAAAGAUAAGUAACUCUUUACUAAUUAUAUCUCAUGCAACUCUCAAUAUAACUUUUGCCUCUAAAAUACUUAUAUCCUUAUGGAUAGCACAACAAACUAUAGUAUUUUAGUUAAGUCAUACCCUUCAAUCUUAUAUGAUCAUAUCUGAAUAAUACUAUCCUUGUAAAUAGCACAAUAAGACAGUACUACCAAAUAUGCCAUAAGCAUCACUAAGUCAACAUCAUACCAAUCACUAUAGCAAGUCUCAUGGAUAGCACAACAAACUCACUACAGUUCUUGACAUACUCUAUUGACCUAGUAUGAGCUAAGUAUCAUUAGCUUCAUUAUGCACCAAGACAGUAUUAAGCCAGUCCCUACAGCAAGCCUUGUGGAUAACAUAAUAAGCCUACUAUGGUUCUUGACAUAAUAGUGACUUAGCAUGAAGGAAGGCAUGGGUAGUAUUCUUAACACUUCACCA
This 2572-nucleotide long non-coding RNA is filed under the name Elaeis guineensis (African oil palm). Its description in RNAcentral is "long non-coding RNA (EGUI_LNC033857)". Lineage: Eukaryota; Viridiplantae; Streptophyta; Magnoliopsida; Arecales; Arecaceae. The record is from RNAcentral.